UUUUUAAGUGAGAAAGAAGGAAAUAAUUUACCAUUAGGAAGUGGGUUUGGAAGCGGCCAUCUUUUAAAGAAAGCGUAAUAGCUCACUAAUGAAGUUAUAUUUUUUUUAAAAUGUAGUGGGACUAAAAAAAUAUACCGACGCUGUGAAUAAUUAUAUAUAUUUUAUAUAAUUUUGGUAGUAAAACGUUUUGUAAGUUAAUAAAGUAUUUUUGUAAAAAAAUAUGAAGAUAUCAAAAGUGAGAAUGCUGGCAUGAGUAACGUUAAAUAAUCAGAAAAAGAUUAUCGCCGUAAGCUUAAGGUUUUCUAUUAUUGGAUAAUCCGAAUAGAGUUAGUCGGCCCCUUAGAUUACUUUAAUAUGAAAAUUUAUUUUAUUGAAGGGUAAAAGAAAUAAUAUUUCUUUAUUUAGGGUAUAGUGACAAAUUUUUUUUUUAUUUUAUUUUUAGUUUUAAGCUUUAUAAAUAUAGGUAAAAAAAAAUUUCGUGAAAAAGCUUCCCUUUUAAAACCGUACUAAAACCGACACAGGUAAGCAGGUAGAGUAUACUAAGGCGCUUGAGAUAACAAUAUUGAAGGAACUCGGCAAAUUGCAUCCGUAACUUCGGGAGAAGGAUGACCAACUAUAAAUUAUAUAUUUAUAUGUUGGUGGCACAGAAUUGGGGGUAGCGACUGGUUAUUAAAACCAUAGGAUUCUGCUAAGUAGUAAUAUUAUGUAUAGGAUCUGACGCCUGCCCAGUGUUGUAAGGUGAACUUGGAUUGUUAUUUUUAGCAUGAAGAUUAAGCCCACAGUAAACGGCAGCCGUAACUAUAACGGUUCAAAGGUAGCGAAAUUCUUUGUCAAUUAAUUGUUGACCUGCAUGAAUGGCGUAACGACUUCCCUACUGUCUCCAGUAUUGACUCAGUGAAAUUGAAUUCUCCGUGCAGAUGCGGAGUACUAAUAGCUAGACGGAAAGACCCUAUAGACCUUUACUGCAUUUAUGUAUUGUCAUAUAAGGUGCAAUGUGUAGGAUAAACAGUAACUUAUGAUACUUCAAUUUUGGUUGAAUGUGGAGGUGUCCUUGAAAUAUUGUUCUUUGUUAUCUUUAUGACUAAUUAGUUUUAACAGUGCAUAAUUGGUAGUUUUGCUGGGGCGGCAGGCUUUUAAAGAGUAACAAAGCUGUACAAAGGUAAGCUCAAAAUAAUUUAUGUUAUUUGUAGCGUUUAAUGGCAUAAGCUUGCUUGACUGUAAAAUUGAUAAAUUCAGCAGGGACGCAAGUCGGUCAUAUAGAUCCGAUGAUACCAGGUGGAUGGGUCAUCGCUUAACGGAUAAAAGGUACCUUAGGGAUAACAGGCUAAUAACUCUUGAGAGACCAUAUCGACGGAGUUGUUUGGCACCUCGAUGUUGACUCAUCACAUCCUGGAGCUGAAGUAGGUUCCAAGGGUUCGGUUGUUCGCCGAUUAAAGUGGUACGUGAGUUGAGUUUAGAACGUCGUGAGACAGUUUGGCCCCUAUCUACUAUUAGUGUUAAAAAAUUGAAAAGUGUUUUUUCUUGUACGAGAGGACCGAAAAGACAGUACCUAUGGUUUUCUGGUUAUUUUGGCUAUAAGUAGGCCAGUCAGCUACGUACAUAAACAUAACCACAGACGGCAUCUACGUGGGAAGGUUACUUUAAAAUAAAUUUUUAAAUUGGUAAUAGAGAAUUACUUUGAUAGGUCACAUGUAAAAGUAUAGUGAUAUAUUGAGCUUGUUGAUACUAAAA
RNAcentral lists this ribosomal RNA (1731 nucleotides) under seawater metagenome. Its description in RNAcentral is "bacterial LSU rRNA". It matches the Rfam family "Bacterial large subunit ribosomal RNA", at positions 1056 to 2906 of the family's 2925-position model. The record is from RNAcentral.